Molecule: ribosomal RNA, 301 nt
Filed under: uncultured bacterium
Lineage: Bacteria
Description: partial 16S ribosomal RNA
Rfam family: Bacterial small subunit ribosomal RNA
Source: RNAcentral
CAGCAGCCGCGGUAAUACGAAGGGUGCAAGCGUUAAUCGGAAUUACUGGGCGUAAAGCGUGCGUAGGCGGUGAGUUAAGUCUGCUGUGAAAUCCCCGGGCUCAACCUGGGAAUGGCAGUGGAUACUGGCUCGCUAGAGUGUGUCAGAGGAUGGUGGAAUUCCCGGUGUAGCGGUGAAAUGCGUAGAGAUCGGGAAGAACAUCAGUGGCGAAGGCGGCCAUCUGGGACAACACUGACGCUGAGGCACGAAAGCGUGGGGAGCAAACAGGAUUAGAUACCCGCGUAGUCCCUGUCUCUUAUAC